This 72-nucleotide transfer RNA is filed under the name Nannizzia gypsea CBS 118893. RNAcentral's name for it is "tRNA-Met (CAT) (tRNA-Met-CAT-2-1)". It matches the Rfam family "tRNA". From Rfam's summary of the family: Transfer RNA (tRNA) molecules are approximately 80 nucleotides in length. Their secondary structure includes four short double-helical elements and three loops (D, anti-codon, and T loops). RNAcentral also lists the same sequence under 14 other names. Lineage: Eukaryota; Fungi; Ascomycota; Eurotiomycetes; Onygenales; Arthrodermataceae. The record is from RNAcentral.
GCCUUCGUGGUGUAGCGGCUAUCACGCCAGUCUCAUAAUCUGGAAAUGCCAGUUCGAUUCUGGCCGAGGGCA